AUCAGCGGGGAAAGAAGACCC
RNAcentral lists this non-coding RNA (21 nucleotides) under Arabidopsis thaliana (thale cress). RNAcentral also lists the same sequence under 1 other name. The record is from RNAcentral. Lineage: Eukaryota; Viridiplantae; Streptophyta; Magnoliopsida; Brassicales; Brassicaceae.